Klebsormidium nitens is the source of this 99-nucleotide non-coding RNA. NCBI's taxonomy places the organism in Eukaryota, Viridiplantae, Streptophyta, Klebsormidiophyceae, Klebsormidiales, Klebsormidiaceae. The record is from Rfam.
GCACCGGUGGUCUAGUGGUAGAAUAGUACCCUGCCAACUGACGUCACCACGACGCAAGCGAGCUCGGUACAGACCCGGGUUCGAUUCCCGGCCGGUGCA